Molecule: ribosomal RNA, 253 nt
Filed under: uncultured bacterium
Lineage: Bacteria
Description: partial 16S ribosomal RNA
Rfam family: Bacterial small subunit ribosomal RNA
Source: RNAcentral
UACGUAGGGGGCUAGCGUUGUCCGGAUUUAUUGGGCGUAAAGAGCGUGUAGGCGGCCAUGUAGGUCCGGUGUGAAAACUCGAGGCUUAACCUCGAGAUGUCAUCGGAAACCAUUUGGCUAGAGUCCGGAAGAGGAGAGUGGAAUUCCUGGUGUAGCGGUGAAAUGCGCAGAUAUCAGGAAGAACACCCGUGGCGAAGGCGGCUCUCUGGUACGUGACUGACGCUGAGACGCGAAAGCGUGGGGAGCAAACAGG